ACACAUACGCCCUUUUGCUAUAUGAAAAAUUGAAAAAAUAACUGGGUUUCAGAAUUGAAGUAAAAAUAAUAUCCCAUUUCUACGGCAGUCUAUGCUUGGUAUAAUAAAAAAGUUAACGAUUAUGAUAAUUACAAUAAUUACGCAAGAAUUAAUUCUAAAACUAUUUCUAAACUAUGACUUUAAAGUGUUUUCCCAUAUGUUCGUACCAUAAGACGGAAGACAUAAGAGUAUCUUUUCAUAAUAUGGAUAUUUCUUCGCUUCUCAGUAAAAAGGAAGGAUCUAUGCUUGCGAAAUAAUUCUUAUAUUCUGCAAGAUACGAAGUUCUGUUUAAAUCCAUAACUAUAAUCAUCCAUCACGAAUAAUCUGAUGUCCAAUUAAUUCUGAAUUAAUUAAACAGUCGCACGUUUCAACCGAUAUAACUAAUUCACUAUUUCAAUAAUUGAUUUUGAGUUUAUUAAUAACUUCGAGGGUCGUAUUUAAUUAGAAAUGUAUUAUGUAAAUUGACUCAGCAGAAGUAGUAUUUAAUUUAUUACGUAUUUUACAUGAAACAGACUCUACAUUGUGUUAUAUAAAUUGCAUAUAAUUACGGUAAUCUUAUCUAAUUAUCCAAGAUCCAUAAAGUUGUUUAUUCGUAUCACGAUGAAGGAACUAGGGAGAAGGAGAUUGUAAAACACAGGAGGAAAGAAAGGAAAUUAUUUGAAUUCCCUUUUUUUGUCGUUUCUACGAGAUGAUUUCAGAUAUAAAAUUUGCACAAAAUUCAUAGCUUCCAUACGAAAUCCGUAUGAGAUGUAUCUGGAUAACAGAAAACUUUUAUUUUCCUUACAACAGUAAAUUCCGUAUUUUAUUUUAUUUCCAAGUAAGAAAUCAAUGAUCAUUGACACUUUUACCUUUGGAUAUUGUGCUUUUUAUACGAAUGGUAUUCGAUUCUAUUUAUCGACUUAAGUUACAGGUAAUUUAAUUAAUAUCUUUGCUUUUAUAUCCUAUACAUGGCAAAGUAUUGAUUUAAAAAGAUAUUCAUGCUUGUUACGUCGUACAAUUAAUUUCCUUAUUGCUCUUGUUAACUGGUAAUUUUCGAUGUUCCACGGUGUUUCCCUUUAUUAUUAGUAGACAUAAAACGUUAGCGUCGAUAGAACAUAGAAGCUCAAAGCAAAUAAUUAUCUACGUGGGAUACAUAUAAUUACAUAUAUGUAUUCUACUUUCUUUUUUAUGUAUACUUCCUUACUGUGUUUUUUUACCUACCACUCUUUUUCCCAUUGAAGAUAGAUGGUCUCCCGAACAUUUCUACUUUUUUCCUUAUCUUUGUCCUGCAAGGCCUGUAUUUAUGGAAAUGGGAAGUGCUAUAUCAGAUCUUUACAAGUACUAUGCUUUCGUAUCUUUCUAUCCUUUAUGUUGUCAUUGAAAGAAACGAAAUAAUUCUCCAACAAAACGUUAAUAAUAUAUAUCUUCUCAUAGUUAAUUAUGUUCUAUCCAUAUUUUAUGAAACGUAUGUACACGUAUAUAUGGACAUUUAAAACUGUAUUUUCUGGCAAUGCAAAAGCCAAUGAAAUUGAUUAAAAUUAUUUUCAUUUAACUUAAUACUCAUCUCAAGUUUUAUCUAACUGUGUCUUUCAUUACUCUAGAAAAACACACAACUUGCGCCAACGACGAAAGCGCGCUGAAAAUGCUGGUUUUCAUCCGAUCGCCAGGAUAAGCAGCGCGUGGCACGGAGAAGUACUAAGAUGGGUGAUCGCUCCUUGGGAAUUCUGUGCGCCGUUGGUACCCCCACCAACCUUUUGUUUCUUUUUAGCAGAUAUUAGAAAAUAUAAACAAAGAAGAUCCACGAAAGACCAACUUUUUUGUUAAAAAGAAAUCGUUCGCUAGGUAAGUGGUUCAUAUCAUAAGCAACGUGCUAUUCAAAUGAGUUGUCGGCUCUUCAAAUUUCAAGUAUUCUAAUCUGUCUUCUCACCUACGUAUAUAUGUCUACGUACAUCGCAUCCUUGCCCUCGUUUCGAUAACGAGAGCAGCGUUUGUCUAGCGAAGAAGUCGGAACUGUGCGUAUCAAGAGAAUUAAAUGGCAAUAAGUCGCGAGAACCAAACCAAUAAACUGACUGCCUUAGAGAGUUCUUCAUAGAGUGUGUAUAUCAAGGCGAGCAACAGCAUAUCGCUUCUGAUCCAAGCCAAGUGGUUGUCCGAAGAUAGAGAGGAUGGUCCCUCGCGCUGCUCGUUGCCCCACCCGUGGGUAUUCCGAUCUAACCAAACAAGUAUCGCCUCUGUCGGUCGGUAUCUCGGCCCGUAGAUCGGAUCGCGAUCGAUAGUUACGCCAAUGGGUUGAAACGAGGCAGCAGAGAGAGAAAGAGAAAGGAGAAGAAGAGAGGAGAGCGGCGGCCGAUGGCGCGGCAGGUAGAGGCGAGGGUCUCGGCCCGUGUAUACUAUAAUUACGAGUAACUCAGCCACAUUUGCGUUGAUCCGACACCUUAAAGAUAACAUUUAGCGGCCCCUUUUAUCUCCGCGGCAAACAAACCAAUUUAUACCUCAGCUCGCUUUGUGCCUGGCUCUGUCUCCGUUUCGCCAACGCUCAUCCUUGCUCUCCUCCUCUCUAUCGCCGAAAAAAACCCCGCCCCGAACUACGAAUUAGGAGCAUCCUUCUCCUCCUUUUACCAUCUUGCUUGCUCUUGUGCCUCUCCUUUGCUUCCCUUUGUGCUGCUCCUUUCCUUGCAUCUUCCUCCUCUUCGUCUUCGCCUGUUUCUUCCUCCGCUAUUUUCCUCUUCUUCUUGUUCUUCGCUGAUUUUCGUCUUCUUCUUCGCCGGCUAUUUUGCUCGUGUCCUUGAUCCUAUUCUGGGGUCUUCGUCGCCUUCUCGCGCUGCUGCCUUGGCCGCUCGUUCGUCCUGGUUUGUCGGUGGUCGUUAGAUUUUGGUACGAGCGUCUUGAUGUAACUCUUGAUGUCCCGCUGCUCUUCUGUUUCUUUUUUGUUUUCUGGCAUUUCGCGGAGGAAUUUCAAUUUUGGCAGCAAUUACGGCGCAGUUUCUUUCAACCGGUCUUCAUGCGACCUCAACUGGAUGAAUGAAUGACCGGUUAAUCCAAGGAUACGCAUAUUCCAGAUAUCAUACGCGCCGGAUGACACAUGGAAGAAAGGGCGCUUAAACACAGACUCCUUUUACACCCUAAAGACCUCAAAAUUCGCAAGUUCAUGAACAUCGGUUGAUUUUUUAAUCGUCUCAAUAACGUUUACGUAUACCGUUGGCAGAGAAGAAGAAGAAGAAGAAGAAGAAGAAUAAGAAGCGAAAUUUGGACGAAGGAAACCGAUAGAGCGGCAGAUUGUACGGAGAGGCGUGCAGCGGAAGAUUGAAAUUAAUCAGCUCUUGGACGGAUCAUUAUUUCUAUUAUCCUGCGUUUCGCUCUCAGCAAGUUUCACAGCGAAGGACAGCGGACUUUCUCAAAUUUCACGUGUAUUAUUUACUCAAUUGGUCACGGUUCUUCCCUCUCGCUGGCCUUCUUAAUAGACGGCCAGAUGGAGUUAGUCAAUGCCUAAUGAAUUACUUAUCGCUGAGGGAGGAUCGGGGCAGCGAGAAAAGGGCGAGGGAGAUUUGAUUAAUGAUUAUAGUUGUUCGGUUAACAUCUGAGAUUCCGCUUUUUUCUCCCCUGCUGUAUUAUUGGCUUCUACUGUAAACUUAUUAACCUUACGUUUUCAUCCGUCCUUCCUUUUGUAUGUUUUCUUUGUGAAUGAUUAUAUAUGGGAGGCAGGCUCGGGUAAAUUUGAUUUCUAAUACAAAUAAAAAAUAACUACUCGAAAGAGAGGAUCGUUUGUUGCUUUUAACCGAAGAAACGACAGAGGGAAAAAUAUCAAUCGUUUUGUAGCGAGCUAUUUAAUAGCGACAUAAUUAUAAAAGCAAAAACAAGAGCAACAUGAACAGGAAAAUUUAUAUAAGCGAAAAUUUAUCGUGGCUUUUUUUUUAACAAGAAGAUGCAUAAUUUAUACUGAUUAUGUAGUUUGAUGCUGCGCACAGAAGGAUAAGGAAGAGGAAGGAGGAAAAAUUAAAGAGCCGAUCGAGGUCGUUAGAGAUACAAUCUCCGGAAUUGCCGAUCAAAAGCUUGAAAUCAGAUCCCACGGUUGUGAUUAUGGCGUCAUGAGCGGUAAUGGGAUCGUAUCAACCUGAAAUUUUAUUACUUUCAAUAUUUGCCACGUCCGCAAUCCCACGUAUCCCAAUUUCCCAUUUAUUUUCAUCUUUCGUGCAUAUUUUCCAUUUUUAAGAUACACGUCGCUGCCUUUCCAAUUCCACGGUAUUCCAAAAUAUUCGUAAGAUAAAACGACGCUAUAAUAAUAAACACGGAGUGUUGUAAUGCGUUCCCUUCCUGUCGUGACAUAAAACGAUAAUAAAAUGGAAGAUAGUUUAUCGAUCGACAGGUUGGCGCUUCUUAGAUGCCCAUCCUUUCGCUGCCCUUCAACAACAAAUUUUAUCUCGCGAUAUACCGCGAUAGGAUUCUCAUGUCGAGCCUUCCUGCUUGCAAUUUUCUAACCGAUUUGUAUUCCGUGAAAAACAAUUAAAUGGCCGUAUAUUUCUCAACGACAACCGUAAGUUUCAACAUGUCGCUACGAGGAUAGAUGGAUUCACACUGCUACCCAUUUUUGUACUCCAUGUUCGUUGUUGCAGUAGCUGCGCGUCGCAAGUUACCUGUUUAAUGUGAAGAAAUAUCUACUACUUCGCCGAAUGACAAGAUCACGAUGUAUUAGGAUGGCAACUAAGUGAUUGCGGAUUUUGCCACUAGGUGGUAAUGACAAACUCCGCAAUCACUUAGUUGUCAACCCAAUAUAAAUACGUAAGACGCGAUCUGUACGAGUCAGGCGGACAAAAAGAAACGGAAGCUCCGGCGUAUUAUCAUGGAGCGCUGCAGCUUCCUAAACCCUUGCCAAAGAAACGAGCGAAGGAGGAAACGCAGAGCGUGGCGGUAGGCAGAAAAACCUUCGAAACGAGGAGUGAAACAGGUGCCAAGAAAACACGUUCGCUCGUGCGCUCGCGCGUGCAGACAUUAGUCGCCACUGUCGGCAGUCGCGCGCCCUCGUGAAGGUGCGUUUUCACCGACUUCUGCGGACGC
Molecule: long non-coding RNA, 5070 nt
Organism: Bombus pyrosoma
Lineage: Eukaryota; Metazoa; Arthropoda; Insecta; Hymenoptera; Apidae
Exons: 4
Source: RefSeq, a predicted model, not a curated record